This 525-nucleotide ribosomal RNA is filed under the name Salyavata macmahanae. Its description in RNAcentral is "partial 16S ribosomal RNA". It matches the Rfam family "Bacterial large subunit ribosomal RNA", at positions 1808 to 2608 of the family's 2925-position model. The record is from RNAcentral. Lineage: Eukaryota; Metazoa; Arthropoda; Insecta; Hemiptera; Reduviidae.
CAAAAACAUGUCCUUUUGUUUAUUUAUUUAAGGUCUGGCCUGCCCAAUGAUUUAUUGAAUGGCCGCAGUAUUUUAACUGUGCUAAGGUAGCAUAAUCAUUUGUCUUUUAAAUGAGGGCUAGAAUGAAGGGUUGGACGAGAUGUAAGCUUUCUUUAAUUUAAGGGGAUAAUUUAAUUUUUGAGUUAAAAAGCUCAAAUUUAUUUAAGGGACGAGAAGACCCUAUAGAUCUUUAUAUUAAGUUUAAUUUUAAGGUUUAGUUGUUUAUUAUGUUUAAUUAAUUAAGUAUUUGGUUGGGGUGACUGUAGAAUUUAAUUAACUUCUAUUAAUUUUUUCAUUUAUUUAUGUUUAUUUGAUCCAUUUUUAAUGAUUACAAGAUUAAGUUACCUUAGGGAUAACAGCGUAAUUUCUUCGGGGAGUUCAAAUCUAUGAAGAAGUUUGCGACCUCGAUGUUGGAUUAAAAUUAGAUUUGUGUGUAGCAGCAUAGGUUCUAGGUCUGUUCGACCUUUAAUUUKUUACAUGAUCUGA